UUGCCAGGCAUUGUCAUGGGAACCAUUUGAGAAGGGCAAUGUGCAGUGCAUGGGCGACUUCCAGUCGGAACCUCUGCAUGGGCUUGAUUCAGAUCUAACUUCCAGUUUACAAGAAAUACAGAGGAUGGAGGAACAAGUUUAAUAAUACCAUAGAGAUGCAGUCAGAUCAAUCCAGAAGAUGCAACAUUCUGCAGGACAAUUACCCUGGAAUCUUCGAGAAGUUGAUGUCAUGGAACACAAGUAUAUGAUUGUGAAGUGAAGAAGCACUUCUGGAUUAACAGCCUUAAGAAACAUAAAGAAAUAAUAUAUGUAUAUGCAUCUUGUUUGAAUUAACCAGCUUUAAAAGACAUUUUGGGGACACAUAAGGAAAAUUUGAAUGUCAAUGGGUGUGCUCUUGAAAAAUUAUGUAAAUUUUGUUAAACAUGAUAAUGGAAUUGUGUUUACUUAACAAAAAUAUGCUUAUUUUUUAGAGACCAAUGUUAAAGUAUUUAGGGGUGAAACAUCAUGAUGCCUGUAACUUAUUUUAAAUUCAGCAAAAAAAAGCUGAAUAUAUGAGAAAUUUCAUUAA
Choloepus didactylus (southern two-toed sloth) is the source of this 568-nucleotide long non-coding RNA. RefSeq lists it as uncharacterized. The record is from RefSeq and is a predicted model, not a curated record. The transcript has 2 exons. Lineage: Eukaryota; Metazoa; Chordata; Mammalia; Pilosa; Megalonychidae.